CCCCGACCCCGCCCCCAGCUGGUGCCUCGGGACCCUGUCCCUGCCGCCUGCGCACCUCGGCUCAUUGGCCAAAUACCCUAUUUUUUUUGAGGAAUUCCAGAACUAGACCCAGGGAUUGCCUACCAAUGAAGAGAAUGGGAAAUGCUGGAAAGCUAAUGGAUAUGCAAGACCUUUAGGCUCUAAGCUGAUAACAAUCAUUCUUUGAGGGAAUCAAUAAAGGAAACUCAGGGGAUCUAAAAGCUGCUGUAACAUACUAUGUCCCUUUGUCUGCAUGUUUGUCUGUAUCAGUCUAAUAAACUCUGCCAUAAGCAUUCA
Molecule: long non-coding RNA, 315 nt
Organism: Canis lupus familiaris (dog)
Lineage: Eukaryota; Metazoa; Chordata; Mammalia; Carnivora; Canidae
Exons: 4
Source: RefSeq, a predicted model, not a curated record